GCGGCGGGGGUGGUUCCGCUUUGUCUGCGCUCCACCUGAGCGCGGGGAAGUUGGCGUUCCGAGGCAGGGCGCACCUAGCGCGCGCGCUCUCCGGGAUCCCCGCGGUCCGCCCCGGGCGAGCCGGCGGGGGCGCCUAGGGAGCCGGGAGCAGCCCCUCCCAUGGGUCCCCGGCACCAGAGCGCAGAGUCGCGGGGCGCGGACCGCAGUUAUGUCAAGAUGCCCUCUUUCCUGUUGCUGGAAGCCCUCUGCCUUUUCCUGUUUGCUGGAGUGCCCCCAUCCCUCCCUCUGCAGGAAGUCCACGUAAGCCAGGAGACCAUUGGGAAGAUUUCAGCUGCCAGCAAAAGUAAGCCCAUGUUUUACUCCACCCUUCAUA
RNAcentral lists this long non-coding RNA (373 nucleotides) under Camelus dromedarius (Arabian camel). RNAcentral's name for it is "lncRNA (ENSCDRG00005021038.1)". Lineage: Eukaryota; Metazoa; Chordata; Mammalia; Artiodactyla; Camelidae. The record is from RNAcentral.